This 1252-nucleotide unclassified non-coding RNA is filed under the name Bombus terrestris (buff-tailed bumblebee). Its description in RNAcentral is "misc RNA ENSBTSG00005027372.1". Lineage: Eukaryota; Metazoa; Arthropoda; Insecta; Hymenoptera; Apidae. The record is from RNAcentral.
UUGCAGGAUCGAGGAGGCGUGUUUGAAAGAGCAGGGGUUACAAUAUAGCCUAAUGACCGCGCCACGGAGCAAAAGUCCAUCAUCAGCUUCUUCAAACGCGCGUCUCUCUCUCCUUGGUUGUUCGCGAAGCGCGUUCCUCCUCCUCUUUCAACGAUUCUUCCCUCUUCUUCUUCUUCUUCUUCUGCUUCUUCUCCUUCUUCGACCAAAGAGAUCGGUGAAACUGGCACGACCUUUCGCAGCCACCUCCUUGUGACCUUUUCAAGGCAACGUUCUAACGACUUACGUUCUAUGUGAUGUACUUGUUUCUUGCUAUGUGGAGCGAAUCUACUUCUUCGCUUUACAAACAUGUCACUCUGAGCUUCAAACUUCUGAGCUUGUCCUAUCACGUUCAUUCUGUUUCCCAAAUCUUUCUGCUUCUCGUUUCUAAGGUUAAAGCUAAUUAGAUUCCAGUCACUGACUGCCGAUCCACGUAUAGUUAAAUGCAGUCCUAUAGUUAUAGCAUUACAUUCGUAUAAUUAUCGUCUGUUUAACUGUUUGAAAACGUUGAAUCGUCGGACAAGGGUGAAUACCAUUAAAUGGAUUAAUCGUGUAUCCGAUAUCCCUGUGUAUUCCGAUAGUUGGAAAAGUACGAUCCAUCAAUUUAGUUUCUUUGAAACUCAUUGAUAUAUAUGUAUAUAUGAUAUCAAAAAGCUUACAGCAAUUAAUAAAAAACAAACGAUUAAAUAAACGCUCAUAACCUGUUGUAGGAGAAUUACGUUGAUCAAGUAAUAAAAAUUCCUCUACGCAUCAGACGACGAUGAGAUACAGAGUAUGUCAACAUUCCUGAUAACAAUGGUUGUUACAUCGCCACCGAUUCAUUAUGUAACUUCGUUAUUGUUCGCUCGCUGAAACGAAUUUUUCUCGGCUGGGCCUAUUUAUCCUUUGAAUGGAUUACAAUUGCAAUAUUACUCUGUACAGGUUGAUCCGGAGAUCUUUGUAUCUGGUUUGCAAUUGUGACUUUGAAUCGCCGGAGUACUACAAUAUAUACGAGAAAUUCUCGUUCAACGCGUUGUUUGAGGAGACGAUGUGGAUCGACCUUCCCUGCUCGAUUCUUUGUGAUGUAACACCACUGUAGCAUUAUAGCAGCGUAGAGUGGUUACGUGGAUCGGUUGAGUCAUUCAUGAAAAGUUCGUGUAUGCCUAUGUAGAUACGGUAUAAUACUACUGCGUUCCAUAUCUUCCUUUCGACGUAGUAAUCGUGACUUCGUUCUUUC